Molecule: ribosomal RNA, 465 nt
Filed under: Vreelandella stevensii
Lineage: Bacteria; Pseudomonadati; Pseudomonadota; Gammaproteobacteria; Oceanospirillales; Halomonadaceae
Description: partial 16S ribosomal RNA
Rfam family: Bacterial small subunit ribosomal RNA
Source: RNAcentral
CCUACGGGCGGCAGCAGUGGGGAAUAUUGGACAAUGGGGGGAACCCUGAUCCAGCCAUGCCGCGUGUGUGAAGAAGGCCCUCGGGUUGUAAAGCACUUUCAGUGAGGAAGAACGCCUGGUGGUUAAUACCCAUCAGGAAAGACAUCACUCACAGAAGAAGCACCGGCUAACUCCGUGCCAGCAGCCGCGGUAAUACGGAGGGGGCGAGCGUUAAUCGGCAUUACUGGGCGUAAAGCGCGCGUAGGUGGCUUGAUAAGCCGGUUGUGAAAGCCCCGGGCUCAACCUGGGAACGGCAUCCGGAACUGUCAAGCUAGAGUGCAGGAGAGGAAGGUAGAAUUCCCGGUGUAGCGGUGAAAUGCGUAGAGAUCGGGAGGAAUACCAGUGGCGAAGGCGGCCUUCUGGACUGACACUGACACUGAGGUGCGAAAGCGUGGGUAGCAAACAGGAUUAGAUACCCUUGUAGUC